This 1143-nucleotide unclassified non-coding RNA is filed under the name Zea mays. Its description in RNAcentral is "misc RNA Zm00001eb189770". The record is from RNAcentral. Lineage: Eukaryota; Viridiplantae; Streptophyta; Magnoliopsida; Poales; Poaceae.
CCCUGCCUUCCAAACCCACGCGCUAAAUUAUCACAGAGCGAGAAAAAAAUUAUGUUUGGUGACCCAACUCCCCGGCCCAAUCCGUGGGAGAGAACAGGGCUUUCGCCCCCGGCCUCACAAGGUCGGGAAGGGUUUCCUCGAGCUCACCCUCUCCACUCGUGCACCCGCCGCCACUUCCUUUCUCUCGCGCACCCGACGUCGCAUCCUCUCUCGUGCAGUUGGGGCCAGCUGUUGGGCCGAGGUCGACGACGGGGUCGACCUCUCCGUGGAGACAGCCAAGGCGGCCGUGAGCCACGCCGCCACGAGCCACCACGAGCACGACGGCGAGCUCAGCGAUCUGGAGUCGGAUCUGGUGGGGCGGCAGAAGACUGGCUGCUCGUCGUCGCCGGCGGCAACAACGCCGGCUGCAGAGCUGAUCGUGCCGCCAGCACAGCAGAUCUAGCAAUUCCAGGUGAAGAGAAGAGAGCCGAUUUGUGCUUGCUAAUCACUGGCGGAGACCUACAGUGCUACUUGCAUGUGUGCGUUGCGUGCAGAUCCAGCAAUUCCAGGAUUUUUGCCACACCAUGUGUGCGUUGCGUGCUUCGAAUGGAUUGAAAUCCAAAUCCAUUUCGUCUUGCCACUGCACUACACCUGCACGCCUACACCUGCACGCCCGGCCGAGCUCUUGACCGGUGGGGAACUUUAGUUUUGUUAUGGUGCACAACCAAUAGUUCUCUGUGUUGGUCUGCUUGUGGGUCUUUUCAUUAUUCAUCAAGUUGCUACUUCUAGUUUUUGUUUGAACUCUUUAGGUUGUGUAACUCUUUAGUUUUGUUUGAACUCUUUAGUAAAAUCUGCUAUUUAGUUACCUCUGGUGUUAUUUACUUACCUCUAUUGUUUACUUGCUUAAAUCUGCUAUUUAGUUACUUCUGGUGUUAUAUACAAGCAUGCUCAGAACUUCAAACAGGAUUAUUUAUUAUUCUUUCAUGCCUAAUUCCUGUAUUUUAGUCACUAUUUAGUAUUUACAUGUCCAAUUCUUUCAUGUCCUGAAACAGUUUUGAUGUUCUUGUUUCUUAGCAUUAAGUUCUUAGAAGAUGAGGAAUUGAAUAUAUAGACAUUUGUCUGAGUUUUUUUUUCUCAUCAACAGGUGGUACAAAAGGGUUUUUC